This 340-nucleotide ribosomal RNA is filed under the name uncultured Ruminococcus sp. Its description in RNAcentral is "bacterial SSU rRNA". It matches the Rfam family "Bacterial small subunit ribosomal RNA", at positions 1 to 339 of the family's 1533-position model. Lineage: Bacteria; Bacillati; Bacillota; Clostridia; Eubacteriales; Oscillospiraceae. The record is from RNAcentral.
AGUAGUUUGAUCAGUGGCUCAGGACGAACGCUGGCGGCACGCUUAACACAUGCAAGUCGAACGGAGAUAAUUUGGAGCUUGCUCUGGAUUAUCUUAGUGGCGGACGGGUGAGUAACACGUGAGCAACCUGCCUUUGAGAUUGGGAUAGCUUCUGGAAACGGAUGGUAAUACCGCAUAAUGUUAUGAGACCGCAUGAUCUUAUAACCAAAGAUUUAUCGCUCAAAGAUGGGCUCGCGUCUGAUUAGGCAGUUGGCGGGGUAACGGCCCACCAAACCGACGAUCAGUAGCCGGACUGAGAGGUUGAACGGCCACAUUGGGACUGAGACACGGCCCAGACUCC